RNAcentral lists this ribosomal RNA (421 nucleotides) under uncultured archaeon. RNAcentral describes it as "partial 16S ribosomal RNA". It matches the Rfam family "Archaeal small subunit ribosomal RNA", at positions 323 to 746 of the family's 1478-position model. The record is from RNAcentral.
CUACGGGUGGCUGCAGUCGCGAAACCUUUACAAUGCACGAAAGUGUGAUAAGGGAAUCCUAAGUGCUUGCUUUCGAGUAGGCUUUUUUUAAGAAUAAAAAUCUUGAAGAAUAAGUGGUGGGAAAGACUGGUGCCAGCCGCCGCGGUAACACCAGCGCCACUAGUGGUGAUCAUGAUUAUUGGGCCUAAAGCAUCCGUAGUCUGUUCAUUAAGUCUGUUGUGAAAUUGUUGACAUUAAUUUAACAACGUGCAAUAGAUACUGAUAAACUAGGGACCGGGAGGAGAUAGAAGUAUUUCAUGGGGAACGGUAAAAUGUUAUAAUCCUUGAAAGACUACCUGUGGCGAAGGCGUCUAUCUAUAACGGGUCUGACGAUGAGGGAUGAAAGCUGGGGUAGCAAAACGGAUUAGAUACCCGAGUAGUC